UUCAUUGCACUGUCGUAAUCUGGAAUUUUUAAGGUACAAUGUUUUCUAAUUUUUAUUUUUAAUUAGAUAUAGGAUGAUAACAUUUUGGUUUUAUUCUUGUGGUGUAUAACUUAUAAGGAUGUUUUAACUAUCCUUUUGCUUUUCAUUAUAUUACUUUCCUAUAUGGCCUUCUCAUCAUGUUUGUACAUUGCGAUCAUAUUUUUCCACUCAUUGAUAUUUUUUUCUCUAAUUCCAGUGCAGAAAACAUAAAGAUCUUUAUCUAUGUAUGGCAAAGUGCCCUAGUGGGCCAUCUGUGAAGUUUUUAGUUAAUGCCAUGCAUACAAUGGAAGAAUUGAAGCUUACAGGGAACCAUCUGAAAGGUUCCCGUCCAAUUUUGACAUUUUCAUCAAAUUUUGAUAAAGAUGUCCACUAGAAACUUCUGAAGGAAAUGAUUAUUCAGGAGCAUCGACAUUCUAAACCGUACCAUGAUCAUGUAUUUGUUUUCUCUAUUGUUGAUGACCAUAUCUGGUUCCGGAAUUACCAGGUUCAACUGGAGUCGACAACUUCAUGAGUUUUCUUUCAAAGAACAUUUCCAGAGACGAACAUUCUCGGUUGGUCGUUUAUGCUUCUGCAGAAAAUCUUGUUAGAUGUAUUCUAAUGCUAUUUAAAAUAUUUUUUGAUUAAGGGCUAGUAUUUCGUACAUGUGGAUUAUUGAAACUUGUAUUAAGAUGUACAAAUAUUAUAAAUUGUAUUAUAGUGUAUAUAUAUUAAAGUGUUGGCUA
Long non-coding RNA from Cucumis sativus (cucumber), 761 nucleotides. RefSeq lists it as uncharacterized. The transcript is spliced from 4 exons. NCBI's taxonomy places the organism in Eukaryota, Viridiplantae, Streptophyta, Magnoliopsida, Cucurbitales, Cucurbitaceae. The record is from RefSeq and is a predicted model, not a curated record.